CACGCCCUAAACGAUCUUCUCUAGUUUUUCGGAGUAUCGACCCUCUGAGAGACGUAGCUAACGCGUUAAGAGAAGCGCCUGGGUAGUACGACCGCAAGGUUAAAACUCAAAGGAAUAGACGGGGACUUGCACAAGCAGUGGAUCAUGUGGUUUAAUUCGAUGAUAAACGAAGAACCUUACCAGGGUUUAAUCUAGCUGAAGACACGGAGAAACCUGUGUCGUCGCAAGACAGUUAGUCAGGUGA
RNAcentral lists this ribosomal RNA (244 nucleotides) under uncultured bacterium. RNAcentral describes it as "partial 16S ribosomal RNA". It matches the Rfam family "Bacterial small subunit ribosomal RNA", at positions 796 to 1041 of the family's 1533-position model. The record is from RNAcentral.